GGGAGUCAGAACAUGGGUGAUAAGGUCCGUGUUCGAAAGGGAAACAGCCCAGACCACCAGCUAAGGUCCCAAAAUAUAUGUUAAGUGGAAAAGGAUGUGGCGUUGCCCAGACAACUAGGAUGUUGGCUUAGAAGCAGCCAUCAUUUAAAGAGUGCGUAAUAGCUCACUAGUCGAGUGACACUGCGCCGAAAAUGUACCGGGGCUAAACAUAUUACCGAAGCUGUGGAUUGUCCUUUAGGACAAUGGUAGGAGAGCGUUCUAAGGGCGUUGAAGCAUGAUCGCAAGGACAUGUGGAGCGCUUAGAAGUGAGAAUGCCGGUGUGAGUAGCGAAAGACGGGUGAGAAUCCCGUCCACCGAUUGACUAAGGUUUCCAGAGGAAGGCUCGUCCGCUCUGGGUUAGUCGGGUCCUAAGCUGAGGCCGACAGGCGUAGGCGAUGGAUAACAGGUUGAUAUUCCUGUACCACCAUGAUUCGUUUUAAGCGAUGGGGGGACGCAGUAGGAUAGGCGAAGCGUGCUGUUGGAGUGCACGUCCAAGCAGUAAGACUGAGUGUUAGGCAAAUCCGGCACUCAUUAAGGUCAAGCUGUGAUGGGGAGAGGAAACAUGUUUUCCUCGAGUCGUUGAUUUCAC
RNAcentral lists this ribosomal RNA (628 nucleotides) under Staphylococcus chromogenes. Its description in RNAcentral is "bacterial LSU rRNA". It matches the Rfam family "Bacterial large subunit ribosomal RNA", at positions 979 to 1603 of the family's 2925-position model. Lineage: Bacteria; Bacillati; Bacillota; Bacilli; Caryophanales; Staphylococcaceae. The record is from RNAcentral.